CAACUUGAGAGUUUGAUCCUGGCUCAGAACGAACGCUGGCGGCAGGCCUAACACAUGCAAGUCGAGCGAGACCUUCGGGUCUAGCGGCGGACGGGUUAGUAACGCGUGGGAAUAUACCCUUCACUACGGAAUAGCCUCGGGAAACUGGGAGUAAUACCGUAUACGCCCUUUGGGGGAAAGAUUUAUCGGUGAAGGAUUAGCCCGCGUCUGAUUAGAUAGUUGGUGGGGUAAUGGCCUACCAAGUCUACGAUCAGUAGCUGGUUUGAGAGGAUGAUCAGCAACACUGGGACUGAGACACGGCCCAGACUCCUACGGGAGGCAGCAGUGGGGAAUCUUAGACAAUGGGCGCAAGCCUGAUCUAGCCAUGCCGCGUGAGUGACGAAGGCCUUAGGGUCGUAAAGCUCUUUCGCCAGAGAUGAUAAUGACAGUAUCUGGUAAAGAAACCCCGGCUAACUCCGUGCCAGCAGCCGCGGUAAUACG
Molecule: non-coding RNA, 480 nt
Filed under: Yoonia vestfoldensis SKA53
Lineage: Bacteria; Pseudomonadati; Pseudomonadota; Alphaproteobacteria; Rhodobacterales; Paracoccaceae
Description: Loktanella vestfoldensis SKA53 Bacterial small subunit ribosomal RNA
Rfam family: Bacterial small subunit ribosomal RNA
Source: Rfam by way of RNAcentral